This 210-nucleotide unclassified non-coding RNA is filed under the name Hevea brasiliensis (rubber tree). The record is from RNAcentral. Lineage: Eukaryota; Viridiplantae; Streptophyta; Magnoliopsida; Malpighiales; Euphorbiaceae.
ACAAAAAAAAGCUCAUUGAAGAAAUCACACGUGCAUAUGCGCAUCAAAUAUAUGUCGAUGGGUUUUUCAAUGGCGAUCCUCAUCCUGGGAAUUUUCUUGUCAGCAAGGAACCCCCACAUCGUCCAGUUCUACUUGAUUUUGGGCUUACAAAGUCCAUAUCAACCUCCAUGAAGCAAGCUCUUGCAAAAAUGUUUCUUGCGUGUGCUGAGG